This 284-nucleotide ribosomal RNA is filed under the name uncultured bacterium. Its description in RNAcentral is "partial 16S ribosomal RNA". It matches the Rfam family "Bacterial small subunit ribosomal RNA", at positions 44 to 334 of the family's 1533-position model. The record is from RNAcentral.
GUGCUUAACACAUGCAAGUCGAGGGCGGGUAGCAAUACCCGACCGGCGAACGGGUGCGUAACACGUGAGCGACCGACCCUAGGUGUGGGGGAUAGCCGGCCCAACGGCCGGGUAAUACCGCAUACGCUUCUUGGACUGCCUGGUCCGGGAAGGAAACCCUUCGGGGGCACUAGGACGGGCUCGCGGCCUAUCAGCUAGUUGGCGGGGUAAUGGCCCACCAAGGCGACGACGGGUAGCUGGUCUGAGAGGAUGGCCAGCCACAUUGGGACUGAGAGACGGCCCAG